UUGACCUCGAAUCAGGUAGGACUACCGUGAACUUAAGCAUAUUGCGGAGGGAUCAUUACCGAGUUUUCAACUCCCUAACCCUUAUGUGAACCUACCUAUUGUUGCUUGGCGGACUCGCUAAAACGUUACGAA
Molecule: ribosomal RNA, 132 nt
Filed under: Beauveria brongniartii
Lineage: Eukaryota; Fungi; Ascomycota; Sordariomycetes; Hypocreales; Cordycipitaceae
Description: partial large subunit ribosomal RNA
Source: RNAcentral